GACGAACGCCGGCGGCGUGCUUAACACAUGCAAGUCGAGCGGUAAGGCCCUUUCGGGGGUACACGAGCGGCGAACGGGUGAGUAACACGUGGGUGACCUGCCCUCAGCUCUGGGAUAAGCCUGGGAAACUGGGUCUAAUACUGGAUAUGACUCCACGGUGCAUGUCGUGGGGUGGAAAGCCUUGUGCGGCUGAGGAUGGGCCCGCGGCCUAUCAGCUUGUUGGUGGGGUGAUGGCCUACCAAGGCGACGACGGGUAGCCGGCCUGAGAGGGCGACCGGCCACACUGGGACUGAGACACGGCCCAGACUCCUACGGGAGGCAGCAGUGGGGAAUCUUGCGCAAUGGGCGAAAGCCUGACGCAGCGACGCCGCGUGAGGGAUGACGGCCU
RNAcentral lists this ribosomal RNA (388 nucleotides) under uncultured bacterium. Its description in RNAcentral is "bacterial SSU rRNA". It matches the Rfam family "Bacterial small subunit ribosomal RNA", at positions 28 to 417 of the family's 1533-position model. The record is from RNAcentral.